AGAACCACCGAAAUAGGGCUCUAUACUAAAAUUGGAAUGAUACAGAGAAGAUUAGCAUGGCCCCUGCGCAAAGAUGACACGCAGAUUCGUGAAGAGUUCCAUAUUUUU
Small nuclear RNA from Lacerta agilis (Sand lizard), 108 nucleotides. The record is from RefSeq and is a predicted model, not a curated record. Lineage: Eukaryota; Metazoa; Chordata; Lepidosauria; Squamata; Lacertidae.